RNAcentral lists this ribosomal RNA (217 nucleotides) under uncultured bacterium. RNAcentral describes it as "partial 16S ribosomal RNA". It matches the Rfam family "Bacterial small subunit ribosomal RNA", at positions 328 to 539 of the family's 1533-position model. The record is from RNAcentral.
ACGCUCGACACCUACGGGAGGCAGCAGUGAGGAAUAUUGGUCAAUGGGCGCUAGCCUGAACCAGCCAAGUAGCGUGAAGGAUGAAGGCUCUAUGGGUCGUAAACUUCUUUUAUAUAAGAAUAAAGUGCAGUAUGUAUACUGUUUUGUAUGUAUUAUAUGAAUAAGGAUCGGCUAACUCCGUACCAGCAGCCGCGGUAAUCUGAGCGGCUGGCAAGGC